Molecule: ribosomal RNA, 445 nt
Filed under: uncultured bacterium
Lineage: Bacteria
Description: bacterial SSU rRNA
Rfam family: Bacterial small subunit ribosomal RNA
Source: RNAcentral
GCCAGACUCCUACGGGAGGCAGCAGUGGGGAAUAUUGCACAAUGGGGGAAACCCUGAUGCAGCGACGCCGCGUGAGCGAUGAAGUAUUUCGGUAUGUAAAGCUCUAUCAGCAGGGAAGAAGAUGACGGUACCUGACUAAGAAGCCCCGGCUAACUACGUGCCAGCAGCCGCGGUAAUACGUAGGGGGCAAGCGUUAUCCGGAUUUACUGGGUGUAAAGGGAGCGUAGACGGCGAUGCAAGCCAGAUGUGAAAGCCCGGGGCUCAACCCCGGGACUGCAUUGGGAACUGCCCCGCUCGAGUGCCGGAGGGGCAGGCGGAAUUCCUAGUGUAGCGGUGAAAUGCGUAGAUAUUAGGAGGAACACCAGUGGCGAAGGCGGCUUGCUGGACGAUGACUGACGUUGAGGCUCGAAAGCGUGGGGAGCAAACAGGAUUAGAUACCCGAGUA